Long non-coding RNA from Sorghum bicolor (sorghum), 3685 nucleotides. RefSeq lists it as uncharacterized. The record is from RefSeq and is a predicted model, not a curated record. The transcript is spliced from 2 exons. Lineage: Eukaryota; Viridiplantae; Streptophyta; Magnoliopsida; Poales; Poaceae.
AUUUGAUGUGAUAGGGAAUCUGAAAAAUUUUGCAAAAUUUUUUAGGAAGUAAACACCAAAACUAAAAAAUUUUGGUGUUAGAAUUUUGGUGGGCUGCUCAAGGUUUUGGGUUUUUGGAUUUUUUGCAAAAUACUUGAGGAACUAAACGGCCGUAAUGUAAGGGCAUUGGCCAUCGAAUCGAGAAGGGAUUUGUAGGAAGGAAUUUAGUUGGCCUUUGUGCUACAUUUGCUGUUGUUAAUACAACAUCAGGAUUGUACCUUUGGAUGGAAAUGCACGAUGGUCACUCCCCGCCGACAUCACUCAGUGUAAAUUGUUGACCAACUUAUAUUAUCAUCAUUUCUCAGAAAAUGGUCAAGAGCUAUGGUGUCGACUACGAGAUAUUGAGAUGGACGCCAAGCUAUAAUCUCUUCUAUUUGAUGGCGACGGGUGGCUCUUUUUGUUUUCUCUCCCCAUAACUAAUCGCACCAUGUUUUUUUUUUCUUGUAGAAGUUCUAUGGAUCAAACUUAACCCCUGUACAUUGGAUUGCAUCAGGAUAGAAUUCAGCGUUUAUAGGAUUUGCUCGGGAAAUUUUGGUAAAAACAGGCCUCCUUGUUUUUUGUUUUUUUAGCAGAACAGGCCUCCUUGGUGAUGUCCAUAGACAGCCUGUGGCUCUUCUUCACGCCAUCCUCGAGGAGGCGUCGCUUUGGUGGCAGCUGGUUAUAGGCCGUUGCGGGAGGUUCUCGCCCUAUGACCCCGCUGUCUCCCCAACUGGUGCAAGCUUGCUGUUUUGUAAUAUGUAAUCUUUGCUUCUGCUUUGGCUAUGGUCCGUUGAAGCUCGGAGGUAAUCUAUGGAUUACUGGCUAAGUAUAUUGUAAGACUCUAUUUCUCUGCUUAAUGAAAUACAUGACACGCAUAUUAAAAAAAACACUCCGGUGGAUAAGCUCAGCCCACACUCCGUUAUUCGCAAUCUGACCUCCUCGCCGAGAUAAGCCCACAGCUCACAUACUCCGUUUUUUUUUUUUUCCUUUGACAACACAGCCCACGCUCCGUUAUUCGCAUCGCCUCGUCGUCGGCGUCACGAGCCACCUGACCCACCUCCUCGUCGGCGUCGACAUCGUAGACCACCGUCCCAUCCCCUCCGGCCCUCCCCUAUGGGUUCCAACGCCCAGGUACGGCGGAGAACAGCCGAACAGGCGCGAUCCGACGCGAACCAAUGCGACCACCUGCUGCUACGCCUCCCGCGCUCUCCACGGGCAACCGGAGUGGGCUCCGUUCGCCUCGACCGCUCGACUCGUCGUCGCCCAGCCGCGAUUCUCUUUCUUCUCAACGAGCACCUAUCAACCUCCAGAUGGCCUAGUUGUAGUUGAAGCUGUACGAUCUUUGUGAAUGAUAUCUAUGGUCAGUUUUUCAUGCAUAUAUUCUCCAAAGAUCAGGGUAUGUUUAAAGCUCCAAGAGUUAGCCUCCCCUGCAUGGCACCUUGCCUGGGCUUGGCCAAAGGUUCACAAUGUGUCAUUUCAUGUUCAACGAUGCUUCUCUGAGUGGUGAGCACAUAGAUGGAGAAAGAUUCUUUGGAUCAGCAUCACAAUGCAGCAGUACGAAACCUGGGGAGGUAGAGUCAGGUCAUUAGCAAUCUUGUUUCUUCUCUUUCUUUGCUUUUCCUUGACGGCAAUUGAAGUAUCGAGCACUUCACUCUUCAGCUUUGAUUGAAAACUAUUAUGUGGACUUGUUCCAUAAGACCCUAGUUCAUGUUCUUAACUACAAUAGCCCCCAUACAUGCAUGACUUCUCUGUUCAUUUUCAGUUUUAAAUUUCUAUUUUUAUGUUCUAACGUGUUUUUCCAUUUACAUACCUGUGGCAUUUUCAUAUAUUCGUAUGUUGCUACUUUGUCCCUCGUCCGCAGAGUACAGAUGUAUACAUGUAGAGGAUUAUUCGGACCAAAUAGGAACCAAAGAUGCAUCUCCUGGCAUGAGUCGACGCAUCAAUGUCUUAAUAUCAUCAGAUGGACUUAUUCCAGAUUCCUCACAGCAUUUAAAAUGCCUAUGCAAGAAGAAAUUACACUUUCGAUGGCGCGAAUGGGCAUUUAGAACUUCUGAGAAUAGUCAUAUCAAUGCCAUGGAGCUUGCAUUCAAGUUGUUCCAGCCAGAACACAUUCUGCCUCGCCCCUCUACAUAAGCGUUAAUAUCUGCAACUGCUAAAAACAAUUCAUGCAGAUGUGUUUUUUCGUCCAGCAGGGAAUAAAAGGUGAGGGCCACUGCCUGCUAGAUCAUAUACCUUAUACUCUACUUUAUACUCUAAACAAUAUCCUCUACCUUAUACUCCACUUUGUCAUCGGUUUCAUAAUAAGUACACCGUACUGUCCCAGGCUUCUUUCACCUUUUUCUGAACAGCAUAUAAAUAUAUACUGGAGUACUGGACUGUAAGCAACAAAUGUAUGAAAAUCAAUUACAUGCAUAUGCAUCAGGGUUCUCAUUUUGUUCCAGCACUCAUAACUGCACAGAGUGCAAUCUGGUUUAGAUAACUACUACAUAGUUUGCACGUGUACUCUGGCAGAGUUGCUUGAAGACAUGCAAGUUUGUUGUGAGAACACAAAACCCUUUUGAAGGGAAUAUACUCGACGUCUAACAGUCUCUUGGAAUAAGGUACUGUCUUGCAGAUCAGAUGGGCAUCUCCGCCAGGACGUUGCAAGCAGAAAGGUAGAAGAUCACCUUUGAAUUUUGAAAGUUCUGACAUCCCAAGGGGGCGAAAGGCACCAGGGAAUUUCCCCGCACUGCAAACAGCCUACACCCAUACCCAGCUUCUGUGGAUGAACUCUUGCCAUGCCAACCGUUGGUCCUCCCUCGGCUCUCUCUAGAUUGUUCACCAGCCAGCUGGAAAUGCUGCUAAAGUUAGUACAUCAUUUCUAGGUAAGAGCUGAAUUUAUUCUACCGGUGGGCAAUCUUAUCAUUCUGAAAAUCUGCAUCGAAAAGAUGCUAUGUAAAGCUUAUAGCACACUUUUGAUUCGUGUUUCAGCUGCUAAUAGCUAAUGCUCCUGGGGCCCUAUGCUUGUUUGCUGUCUGCAAAUGUAUUUGUCACAAGUUUACAAGAUUGAAUUUUGGCAUUGAAUUGGAUGAUUCACAUCACCAAUUCCUCGUGUCAAUUCUUCAAGGCUGAACAAUGCAUGAUGGUUCUAGCUUAGAGGUAAGACCUUUGCAAUAUAUACGUGUGGACUGGUUGAUCCAGAUUGGUUACACUUCAUUUCAGGGUUUGUUUAGACUGGUGGCCCCUGGCAAACGUGAGACAUGAACCUCAAGUGAAGACGAAGUGGUAAGAUUCUGGGACUUCUUCUUGCAGCGAAGUGAAUGAAGACGAGGUGAACGUCUGCAGUCCACACCAAAAUGAACUUGGACAACGUGUGCGGAAAAGGACGAGAGCUCGCUUGCACUCCAUCGGUACUAUGUGUUCCGUACUCCAUACAGGCUAGUGGACAAGAACGAGGCCAAAGGAAACGCCAAGCAGCAAUGGCUAGUGUCUGAUAAAAUGUCGAUUUGAUAGAGAGAAUAAUCAAUCUAAAAACGUUGAUGUGAUGUGAUGCCAAAGUAGAAAAGGCUAUAGUUGCCCAAUUUCCAUUCGGGGCUAUUUGGACCGGGUGGAUUCGGCGUUUGGGCCCAAUUGUACGCACCAGGGCCGUAAGAUGAUGGAGCCAUUUGGAAAUAUUUGCAUGUUUUUA